UUUGACGCUGAGAGAGAGAGAGAGAGAGAGAGAGAGAGAGAGAGAGACUCUUUCUGGCUACCCAUUUGGCCAUUUGAAGCAUUUGACCCCCCUACAAUCCACUUACUCUCUUCUUGUUUAGCUUCAGGGAAAUCAAGUUCUGGGCUUUGUUUUGAUCUUCAUAAUAUCUAAAUUAAGAACUGGGUUUUAGUUUUAUGUGAAGAAGUGAGGUUCACUUGAAAUCUUGUUUCAGAAAUGGACAAAAGAAAGAAAAUAGUUUCUUAUUUGAAUAAAGGUGUAGAGGUUUCGACCCAAUUAUUGGUGGAAAAGCAUCUUCUACUUUUCAUACUCCCUCUGAUAUUAGUUGUUUGGGUUAUUGAGAAAUGGGUUUUCUCUUUCUCCAAUUGGGUUUCUCUUGUGGUCACUGUCUGGGCAACUAUCCAGUAUAGUAGUUAUCAACGACAAAUCCAUGUAGAGGAUUUGAAUAGAAAAUGGAAUCAAGUCAUACUAUGUCGCCAGGAACACCAUUGGAGCACUGUGAGUGGCUGAACAAGUUAUUAAUGGAAAUUUGGCCAAACUACAUUCACCCAAAGCUUUCCACAAGGUUCU
Non-coding RNA from Camellia sinensis, 588 nucleotides. NCBI's taxonomy places the organism in Eukaryota, Viridiplantae, Streptophyta, Magnoliopsida, Ericales, Theaceae. The record is from RefSeq and is a predicted model, not a curated record.